This 222-nucleotide ribosomal RNA is filed under the name uncultured bacterium. RNAcentral describes it as "partial 16S ribosomal RNA". It matches the Rfam family "Bacterial small subunit ribosomal RNA", at positions 109 to 334 of the family's 1533-position model. The record is from RNAcentral.
AGUAAUACAUCGGAACGUGUCUUCUAGUGGGGGAUAACUGCCCGAAAGGGCAGCUAAUACCGCAUGAGACCUGAGGGUGAAAGCGGGGGAUCGCAAGACCUCGCGCUGGAAGAGCGGCCGAUGUCCGAUUAGCUAGUUGGUGAGGUAAAGGCUCACCAAGGCGACGAUCGGUAGCUAGUCUGAGAGGACGACCAGCCACACUGGGACUGAGACACGGCCCAG